CCUACGGGUGACAGCAGUGAGGAAUAUUGGUCAAUGGGCGCGAGCCUGAACCAGCCAAGUAGCGUGAAGGAUGACUGCCCUACGGGUUGUAAACUUCUUUUAUAAAGGAAUAAAGUGAGGCACGUGUGCCUUUUUGUACGUACUUUAUGAAUAAGGCUCGGCUAACUCCGUGCCAGCAGCCGCGGUAAUACGGAGGUUCCGAGCGUUAUCCGGAAUUAUUGGGUUUAAAGGGAGCGUCGAUGGGUUGUUAAGUCAGUUGUGAAAGUAUGCGGCUCAACCGUAAAAUUGCAAUUGAUACUGGCAGUCUAGAGUACAGGUGAGGUAGGCGGAAUUCGUGGUGUAGCGGUGAAAUGCUUAGAUAUCACGAAGAACACCGAUUGCGAAGGCAGCUUACUAAACUGCCACUGACAUUGAUGCUCGAAAGUGUGGGUAUCAAACAGGAUUAGAUACCCUUGUAGUC
This 460-nucleotide ribosomal RNA is filed under the name uncultured bacterium. Its description in RNAcentral is "partial 16S ribosomal RNA". It matches the Rfam family "Bacterial small subunit ribosomal RNA", at positions 338 to 795 of the family's 1533-position model. The record is from RNAcentral.